RNAcentral lists this ribosomal RNA (543 nucleotides) under Lensia hostile. Its description in RNAcentral is "partial 16S ribosomal RNA". It matches the Rfam family "Bacterial large subunit ribosomal RNA", at positions 1935 to 2481 of the family's 2925-position model. Lineage: Eukaryota; Metazoa; Cnidaria; Hydrozoa; Siphonophorae; Diphyidae. The record is from RNAcentral.
GGUAAGCCUAAACCCGGUGAAACAAGCAUAAUCUGAUACCGUUUAAUUGGCGGAGUGUUGAAUGGACGAACGAGCGCAGAACUGUCUCAAGGUGAUUAGGAUUUAAAUUGACAUGAUAGUGCAGAUGCUAUCUAAAAUGGCAGGACGAGAAGACCCUAUGAAGCUUUACUCUAAGUAUAUAUGAGUACUUGAUGGGCCAUACUAUACAAACAACCACUCUAUGUGUGUUAGUGAGUUUAGUCACUGGAACAUCUAGCGAGAUUAUAUCGAUAUAGGAUUAUAAAAUUUAUAGGUAAACCAAGUAUUCUUGGGUUGUAUAAUCUAAAGCAAUAGUAUAGAAAUGUCUGCUUGGGAGUUUGGGUGGGGUGCCCGCAGGUUAUAUAAGAACAUCGUGUAAUCAAUCGUUAUUUGAUUGACAGACUGAGUAGAGCACACGCUUACUCAGAGACAAAAGUCGGAAAGGUGACCCGAUGCGCUUAAGUGCGGCACAUGUAAAUAAAAUAUAGGUCGACAAUGGAUAAAAGCUACUCUAGGGAUAACAGG